This is a microRNA precursor of Saimiri boliviensis boliviensis (Bolivian squirrel monkey), 76 nucleotides long. NCBI's taxonomy places the organism in Eukaryota, Metazoa, Chordata, Mammalia, Primates, Cebidae. The record is from Ensembl.
UAUUAGGUUGGUGCAAAAGUAAUUGCAGUUAUUGCAAUUACUUUAAUGGCAAGAACUGAAAUUACCUUUGCACCAA